AAUGUGAAGUUGUACUUUAAUAACAUGAAUUUAUCCCUUGGCUUCGAAUCAUCUCUAGGGAGAAGAGAAAAUACAUUCAUGCUGAGAAGACAGCAUUGAAUUCUUUCCACCCAGCUUGCAGUCCUCAUGGUCUGUGAAGAACAGGGCAUUUGACUGGAUGAUUUUCAAAGCCCUGUCAAGGGAUGUAGACAUGAUGGCUGGAGCUUCAGCAUCCAUAUUGAGCCACGAUGCAACCACAACGAUGGAAGAGCAGAGAGAGAAAAGGAGUCUAGAUUCCUGAGCAUCUUGGAGCCACCAUACCAACCCUGAACCUUAGGCCACAUUGUCUAUCGUUUUCAGGUGUCGAAAGAGAGCUGUCAGAGGAGAAAGUGGCUCAUGGGGUUAUGGAAGCUGAGAAGCGCCACAGUCCGACGUCUGCAAGCUAGAACCUCCUUUCCACGCACCUGCCCGCACCGCAGCACUUACAGUCUCUGCUCUCUGGCCGAGGAUACUUGGCACCUGGGACGCGCACCUGGCUCUAAUUCUCCAGGUACCAGAGCUGUCCUGUGGGACCAAUACGGCAAAACUAAGAUACCUCAAUCCCUGGAGCCCGUGAUAAAAGACAUCUCAACUUUUAUUUUUGUUCUUUUUCUCUCCUAAACCGCCCACUCUGGGGAAAGCCAGCUGCCACCUGGUCACAGCGAUUUCAGAUGGCAUCAACCUCGUCCAACUAGGACGAGAUCAUUCAUAUUUGUUCUUCGAAGCCUCUAAACUUUGGGGGUAACGGGGGACGAAUGCAUCCUUCACGGAGUGACUCGGGGCAGCCACUCGUUCCAUGUUGAGACACCACCAUCUGUGGCCUUUAUUGUUGCCACAGGAGGGGCAGAAAGGGGCAGGUCCAGCCUGUUUAACACCUCAGACGCAUCCUUGUAUAAAUCCUAUUCUUCAGUGAGACAACAGUGUUUUCCACGGUCCGAAAAUGGAAGGGAUCAUAAGAAUGCCAGAAAAGAAACAUAGACAGCAAGGAUUUUCAUGGACAAACUCUGGUGCAUGUAUUUGUAGCAACAAUAAUAAUAGAAAUAAAUAUUACAGGAUGAAAUGAGGGGACAUUCAUAGACAAAUACUUUCUAAAACAUCAAUAAUUUCUUUUGAGGAAGACAACAAAAUCACGAAAUGCUUGCAGGGGUUUAAAGAUUGAUGUGCAUCUAACCUCUGUUACUUUUAAGUUAUGAAUCUCUUGUUCAUUUCUACUCUCUCAGCCCAGAAAUGUUUAGAAGCACAGAAAAUAGGGUCAGAAGGUACCCAAAGCAUGCUCAAAUGAUUCUGAAUGGUUAUGAAAUUGGAUGAAUUUUGGAGAGGACUGCUUUAUCAGCAGUAUUGUUAAGAAUCUACUGUGCGUGGUGAAUCAUUUAAAACACACCCACUUUUGCUUACUUUUAAUAUUGUGUUUAAAUUUCCAACAGAUACGUAUCCCGUUCUUUCUUGUUGGUAGAACAGAUUUCUCCCAUUGUCCGCACAUGGCAUGGCACUGUUGAGAGAGAUCUGUUUACUGGGCAGGUCUUCUACCCAAAUCCCAUCGUCCAUGGUCCCACCUACAGGGGUAUGUAUGCAUGUCCAGGGGACUGCGUGAUCUUCGUAUGUCCAUAAUGCUCAUUUCUGUGAGCAUUCCCCAAAUUCCUGUUCAUCUUGUCCCUUUUAUCUCUACAUGAUUUCAUGGUUUGAUUGACAAGCUUUCUUUUCAAGUUAUAUGCAUAUAGCCCCACCUUCUUUUAUUAAAAAAAGCAAUGGCUUUUAAUGGCUUAAAACAUUUUUGAGCCUCUAUUUUAGUAGAUCAAUGCAGAAUCUAAUUCUUGUUCUAAGCUGUAGGUCUAAAAAUGAUUGUGGGACCAUAUGUUCGCUGAUGUUGGUGACUUAUGUUAUUAAACCUUUCCUGAAAGGUUCACUAUAAAAGCUGAAAUACAUUCUUAGCUUUUAAUAGUCAGGUAGAUUUUAAGGAAAAAUAUAUAUGAACGUACAAAGGAGGCAUUUUUUGUAUUCAUUUUGGACUCCUGUCAAUAAAGGUUGACUCAAAAAAAAAAUCACAGAAGUUCCAAAUAUUACAUUGGGUUGGGAUUCAGAGUUAAUGCCUCAGGCAAACAUUAUACACCUGCUAUUUAUUGGGUUCUGUGUGUUGCUAGAAUCGUCAGAAUAAAUUUCCUAUUUUUAGGAACUCAAAGGUCUUGUCCCUCCUCCAAGAUUCAGAUUCACCUUCCCCCGUGCAUUUAAUAAUCUGGAUGACCCUGAAUUCUGCAGAAAGCCUUCAGGUUCAUGAAAUGUAUUUACUGUUUCGAGACCAUCUUGCGUAUGAAAAAGUAAAGGUCACCCUACACAUUUUAUAUGUCUGCACCCCAUUAAAUGACAUCAUCAGAAGCGUGCAUAAAGGAUUGCUUCAGAAAAUUUAAACGUCACAGUUUGCACGCCCCUGUGGCCUCCCCCAGCUCGGGUGAGUAAAGACCAGAUCCCAGUUUCAGGAACGCUGCUCUGGCGUUAGCAUCCUUUCGGGUGAGGGAGAGACCAGAGAAACUCAGCUGAAAUGCAGAAAGCAAACACUGAAUUCCUGAUUUAUCUUUUUCUCCACAAACUAACUUAUUUUCCCCACACUGACCCCAGACAAGCUGCAUUUUCUACAGCAGACUAUGUGUCAUAAAUAAGUCACACACUUGGGUUGGUGUGUUAGUAAAUUUUCUACCAGAAAUACAGACAUUUUAAAUUCCAUGGUGUUUUACGGGCAAAAACUUUCUGACGUUUUUACGGCCUUCAGAUCAUAUUUCUUAAGUUUCUUCGUACAUUGGCAUGACCACGGCUGCUGCCGAUAUUCACGGAGUGCAUGCAGUAUGUCAGCCCAGCUUCUGUGACAUUUUAACACAAGAAAUUACCUCUGGAUUUGUUCCGACUUUCUCUACAUUAUUAUUUUUUUUUCCCCUUCAAGCAAACCAUCUAUUUAUCCACUGGACAAUAUUCCAGUAAC
Non-coding RNA from Manis javanica (Malayan pangolin), 2986 nucleotides. NCBI's taxonomy places the organism in Eukaryota, Metazoa, Chordata, Mammalia, Pholidota, Manidae. The record is from RefSeq and is a predicted model, not a curated record.